GAUGAACGCUGGCGGCGUGCCUAAUACAUGCAAGUCGAGCGAACAGAUGAGGAGCUUGCUCCUCUGACGUUAGCGGCGGACGGGUGAGUAACACGUGGAUAACCUACCUAUAAGACUGGGAUAACUUCGGGAAACCGGAGCUAAUACCGGAUAAUAUAUUGAACCGCAUGGUUCAAUAGUGAAAGACGGUUUUGCUGUCACUUAUAGAUGGAUCCGCGCCGCAUUAGCUAGUUGGUAAGGUAACGGCUUACCAAGGCAACGAUGCGUAGCCGACCUGAGAGGGGGAUCGCCCACAGUGGAACGGAGACCGGGACCAGACCCCUACGGGAGGAAGCAGGGGGGAUUCUUCGGCAAGGGGCAAACGCCGGACGGAGAAGCCCCGCGUGAGUGAGGAAGGUCUUCGGAGCGAAAAACUUUGUUAUGAGGAAAGAAAAAAUGUGUAAGUACAUAUGCCGGUCUGGACGGUACCUAAUAAGAAAGCCACGGCUAACUACGUC
Molecule: ribosomal RNA, 497 nt
Filed under: uncultured bacterium
Lineage: Bacteria
Description: partial 16S ribosomal RNA
Rfam family: Bacterial small subunit ribosomal RNA
Source: RNAcentral